CGGACGGGUGAGUAAUGUCUGGGAAACUGCCGAUGGAGGGGAUAACUACUGGAAACGGUAGCUAAUACCGCAUAACGUCGCAAGACCAAAGAGGGGGACCUUCGGGCCUCUUGCCAUCGGAUGUGCCCAGAUGGGAUUAGCUAGUAGGUGGGGUAACGGCUCACCUAGGCGACGAUCCCAGCUGGUCUGAGAGGAUGACCAGCCACACUGGAACUGAGACACGGUCCAG
Molecule: ribosomal RNA, 229 nt
Filed under: uncultured bacterium
Lineage: Bacteria
Description: partial 16S ribosomal RNA
Rfam family: Bacterial small subunit ribosomal RNA
Source: RNAcentral